Molecule: small nucleolar RNA, 143 nt
Organism: Grammomys surdaster
Lineage: Eukaryota; Metazoa; Chordata; Mammalia; Rodentia; Muridae
Product: small nucleolar RNA SNORA48
Exons: 1
Source: RefSeq, a predicted model, not a curated record
CCCCACAGCAAUGGGCAAAGAGACACCUUAUUGAUGGUGGUGGUCUUGUAUCAGUCAGGGGCAGAGAAGAUGGCAGUCUUUUGUUCAUCCUAACUUGAUGCCUGGUUUGGUGGCCAAAGGUGUUUUAUACCUAGGACUCAUUA